This is an RNA transcript of Triticum aestivum (bread wheat), 2077 nucleotides long. RefSeq lists it as uncharacterized. The transcript is spliced from 6 exons. The record is from RefSeq and is a predicted model, not a curated record. Lineage: Eukaryota; Viridiplantae; Streptophyta; Magnoliopsida; Poales; Poaceae.
UUUUGUCUCUGACUUGAUGCUACAAAUUGUGUAUUGUUUUGCUCAUAGUCCGUUGUAUUUUGCACUUUGGUUGGAAUACGAAAUAUCUGAAAUGGUUGAAUAGUGACUACUUUCACUGCCAUGCACACAGUUCUGUUUUGGCCAAAUUCCUUGGAGCGGGCAGUUUUGUUAUUACUUUCCCUGUGCUAAUACCAAUGUGAUGUACAUGUACUAACUUAUGUGCAUAUUUUCAAUGCACGGCGCUUGCUUAGACGGUUAUAAGCAAAAAUAAUAAUACGUAAAGAGUAAUUAUGUAAGCGCCCUCUUACUCAACUCUGGCCGCUAAUUAAGGCGCUAAAUAAACUACGAAACCGGCGAGGAAAAAGGGGCCGAUGCCAUGCGUGGCUCCAGGAUUCUUUUUUGAUCUGGUGAAACUCGUCUGUGAGUAAAAAAAGAAAAGGAACUGCGGUCAACACGUGUGCACGCGAGCUUAACACGUUGGCUGGUCUAGAAAAAAACAAGCAGCCUCGGUGGCGCUCCUUCAGCCAUGUAUAUGGACUCCUCGCUCGUAAGCCAUUCAUGUUGACAGCGGUUAUCUUCCGCGUGGCUCGGCUCUUGCCGGUUAUCCACUGCCGACCGCCCCCGAGGAGUUCCCGGUCUCCGUCGGCUGCGCCGGCCAUGUCGCCGCCUGCAACACCUCGUUGCCUCUCCUUCUCCGUUCAUUCUUUUCCCAAGUCCAGCCGCAGCCGCCGCCGGAUCCGGUUGCCCUCGACCCAACGCAGGACGCCGCAGCCCCUACAAGUCCAGCCGCCGCCGGAUCCGGCUGAGUUUAGCUUUCUGGUCGGUGCAGCCACUAAAAAAGCAUUCUACACAAAAAAAUCCCCACCGAGAAGCUCUCAAUUGCGUUGCUCUUCUUCCACAUCUCCAUUCCUCUAGCACAGAGCUGCUCUUCUUCUUCUUCCCUCUAUCCAUCCAUCCAGCGAGCCCACGAACCCACAUCGUCAGCGCUGCUCUCCUUCUCUUCUCUCUAUCAGCGGCUGCUCUCCUUCCUCUUCUAUCCGUUCUCCAGCCACACCAAACUCACGCACGCCCGUGGCGGCUGCUUCGCGUUCGUCGCCCGGUUGCGGGGCGGCUGCAUAUCGUGUAUGGGCUCGUGGUGGUCGGGCCGCGCGCACGGUGCUGGCUGGGCUUGUGGCGGAGGGUGCGGCAGCAGUGGCCUCGACCUUGGAGGCGCGACAGUGGUGUGGCCCGGCCGCGCACACGGUGUUGGCUGGGCCUAUGGCGGAGGGCGCGACAGCGGUGGUCUACUCAGGGUCGACGCAACAACGGUGGCCUGCUCAAGGUCGACCUUGGCGGCUGCUCGACGGGGCCGCGUGGAUCUGCGUCCGGGCUCCGGGCUCCGGAUCGGCGUGGUCGUGUCCAGCCCACCCUCCUCCGACUACGCCUUGCUGCGGGGCUGCGGGCCCAGAUCUCGUGCACCAGGAGAAGUCUGAUGAUAAGGCUGAAGCUCUUUCAUCUUCUGUUGAAGGAAAGAAUGAUAAGGAUGACCAGGGGUAGAUGACCAAAAGAAAGGGGGCUGGGACAGCAAAGAAAUCAAGGCAGUUACUACUCUGCGCCAUCUAUGCAGAGAUUAAUUACCUAUAGAAAAGAAUACCUUUAUCCUGAUAGGCAUGGAAACACCGCUUCACAUUGAGUGCAUCAUCGCUAAUCAACUACUAUUGGAGAGCAAGGGACAUAUAAGAAAUCUCCAGGCAGCUUCGCUUAGAUGCAUCAUCUUCUGCUAGGACCUAGGAGUUAGCUUGAAGAACGACCUUCUCAGGAGACUGCAACUGACAUGCUGGAUGGUGAAUAACCAAAUUUGUGGACAAAGACAAAGAGUUCAUCGCAAGGGAUGGUGUUUAGGAUAUAUAUACACAAAAGAGGAAACUUUCUUUUGUACAGAACCAAAUUAUAUGAUGUAAUUGACCACUAUUUAUAAGAAAUGUUCGCCGUGUAUUAAGUACAUUUUAUUGUGUCACUUUUUUUGAGGGGUAGCUUUAUUCAUCAAACACCACAAAGUGUGCAAUGGAGUUCAUCAAACCAGGCUUUAUUGUGUCAA